This 405-nucleotide ribosomal RNA is filed under the name uncultured bacterium. Its description in RNAcentral is "partial 16S ribosomal RNA". It matches the Rfam family "Bacterial small subunit ribosomal RNA", at positions 28 to 526 of the family's 1533-position model. The record is from RNAcentral.
GACGAACGCUGGCGGCGUGCUUAACACAUGCAAGUCGAACGAGUGGCGCACGGGUGAGUAACACGUGGGUAAUCUGCCUUUCACUCUGGGAUAAGCCUUGGAAACUGCGUCUAAUACCGGAUAGUGCAAGAUGAGCUAGCGGCCUAUCAGCUUGGUGGUAGGGUAAUGGCUACAAAGGCGCGAGGGGUAGCCGGCCUGAGAGGGUGAACGGCCACAUUGGGACUGAGACACGGCCCAGACUCCUACGGGAGGCAGCAGUGGGGAAUUUUGCACAAUGGGCGAAAGCCUGAUCCAGCCAUGCCGCGUGUGCGAUGAAGGCCUUCGGGUUGUAAAGCACUUUUAGCAGGAAGACGGUACCUGCAGAAUAAGCACCGGCUAACUACGUGCCAGCAGCCGCGGUAAUUC